This 521-nucleotide ribosomal RNA is filed under the name Rhodococcus sp. UKW. RNAcentral describes it as "bacterial SSU rRNA". It matches the Rfam family "Bacterial small subunit ribosomal RNA", at positions 345 to 873 of the family's 1533-position model. Lineage: Bacteria; Bacillati; Actinomycetota; Actinomycetes; Mycobacteriales; Nocardiaceae. The record is from RNAcentral.
AGGCAAGCAGUGGGGGAAUAUUGCACAAUGGGCGCAAGCCUGAUGCAGCGACGCCGCGUGAGGGAUGACGGCCUUCGGGUUGUAAACCUCUUUCACCCAUGACGAAGCGCAAGUGACGGUAGUGGGAGAAGAAGCCCGGCCAACUACGUGCCAGCAGCCGCGGUAAUACGUAGGGUGCGAGCGUUGUCCGGAAUUACUGGGCGUAAAGAGCUCGUAGGCGGUUUGUCGCGUCGUCUGUGAAAUCCCGCAGCUCAACUGCGGGCUUGCAGGCGAUACGGGCAGACUCGAGUACUGCAGGGGAGACUGGAAUUCCUGGUGUAGCGGUGAAAUGCGCAGAUAUCAGGAGGAACACCGGUGGCGAAGGCGGGUCUCUGGGCAGUAACUGACGCUGAGGAGCGAAAGCGUGGGUAGCGCACCCACGGAUUAGAUACCGACAAUAGAGAUAGUCCACGCCGUAAACGGUGUUCUUUCCCCCCCCCGUUUCUAUCUCCCCUCCGUGCCCCCCGCCAACCCGCCGUUUU